Molecule: ribosomal RNA, 633 nt
Filed under: uncultured methanogenic archaeon
Lineage: Archaea; Methanobacteriati; Methanobacteriota
Description: bacterial SSU rRNA
Rfam family: Archaeal small subunit ribosomal RNA
Source: RNAcentral
UGUCGGGGUAAUGGCCCAACAAGCCAGUGAUCGGUACGGGUUGUGGGAGCAAGAGCCCGGAGUUGGAUUCUGAGACACGAAUCCAGCCCUACGGGGCGCAGCAGGCGCGAAAACUUUACAAUGCGGGCAACCGUGAUAAGGGAACCUCGAGUGCCUGUAUAUGCAGGCUGUCCAGGUGUCUAAAACACACCUGAAGAAAGGGCCGGGCAAGACCGGUGCCAGCCGCCGCGGUAAUACCGGCGGCUCGAGUGGUGGCCACUUUUAUUGGGCUUAAAGCGUUCGUAGCUGGGUUGUUAAGUCUCUUGGGAAAUCUGGCGGCUUAACCGUCAGGCGUCUAAGGGAUACUGGCAAUCUUGGAACCGGGAGAGGUGAGGGGUACUUCGGGGGUAGGAGUGAAAUCCUGUAAUCCUCGAGGGACCACCUGUGGCGAAGGCGCCUCACCAGAACGGCUUCGACAGUGAGGGACGAAAGCUGGGGGAGCAAACCGGAUUAGAUACCCGGGUAGUCCCAGCUGUAAACGAUGCGCGUUAGGUGUAUCGGUGACCACGAGUCACCGAGGUGCCGAAGGGAAACCGUGAAUCGUGUCCGCCUGGGAAGUACGGUCGCAAGGCUGCAAACUUAAAGGAAUGGCGG